AUGAUAUAUUAUUUAAUCGUGGAAAUGCCAUGUCAGGUGCACCUAUCAGAAUUGGAACAAACCAAUUACCAAAUCCACCUAUCAGAAUCGGAACAAACCAAUUACCAAAUCCACCUAUCAUCGCCGGCAUAA
RNAcentral lists this ribosomal RNA (132 nucleotides) under Triticum aestivum (bread wheat). RNAcentral's name for it is "partial small subunit ribosomal RNA". The record is from RNAcentral. Lineage: Eukaryota; Viridiplantae; Streptophyta; Magnoliopsida; Poales; Poaceae.